This 123-nucleotide ribosomal RNA is filed under the name Sinocyclocheilus rhinocerous. The record is from RNAcentral. Lineage: Eukaryota; Metazoa; Chordata; Actinopteri; Cypriniformes; Cyprinidae.
CGAAAGCGCCUUGCUGUGCCUGCUCCUCCAGAGUGGACUCCUGUCCCCCACUGAAGCUAAGCAGGGCUGAGUCUGGUCAGUACCUGAAUGGGAGACCUCUUGGGAAAACUAGGUUGCUGUUGG